Molecule: transfer RNA, 72 nt
Filed under: Bos taurus (domestic cattle)
Lineage: Eukaryota; Metazoa; Chordata; Mammalia; Artiodactyla; Bovidae
Also listed under: 4 other names
Rfam family: tRNA
About the family: Transfer RNA (tRNA) molecules are approximately 80 nucleotides in length. Their secondary structure includes four short double-helical elements and three loops (D, anti-codon, and T loops).
Source: Rfam by way of RNAcentral
UCCCUGGCAGUCCAGUGGUUAAGACACUGCUCUUACACUGCAGGGGCACAGGUUCAACCCUUGGUCGGGGAA